Long non-coding RNA from Oncorhynchus nerka (sockeye salmon), 1586 nucleotides. RefSeq lists it as uncharacterized. The record is from RefSeq and is a predicted model, not a curated record. Lineage: Eukaryota; Metazoa; Chordata; Actinopteri; Salmoniformes; Salmonidae. The transcript has 3 exons.
UAUAUGCGUUGCACUUGUGGAUAGAAAUAAAACAACAACCCUGAAAAGCAGUUGUAGGCUCGCGUUAUUUACUUCAACGUCAAACCCCCUUUAUAAAUGUUCGAGUAGUUUUAUAAUAGUGUAUCUUAGUGUUUUCUGCGUUCAUUAAUCAUCGCUGUUGCAUCCGAUGCUGUAAUAAACCACAGCCUACAUCCUAAAAUGUCUGUUACAGUUACAGAAUUCGAUCGCAGCAUUUCUCGCAAAACGUCCAAAUAGAGUGAAAAAAAGUUGUUUUUUUCGGCGACCCUAAUUAUAAUUCCCAGUCCUGAUCAGAAAUGGUUUUGUAGAACUAUAACCCUGUGCACACGCAAGUUGUUUUUUCGAGGGAUUGUGUUCAAAAGUAUUCCAGGCGGCCUCUGCUCUGCUGCCCUACUGCAGUAUGAUACACUGCAAUCCAGACUUCUUCUCUCUUAUCUAGGGCCUCCCCUUCACGAUAAAAACAGGUCUUAUUUCUAUUUAGAUAAGGAACUGCAGGUAAAGUCCCUUUCCCCGCCUGCCUUGGGACGAGACUGAUUGACAGUGAAGUGCGCCCCUUUUUAAUGGGCUUUCCGGCACCCAUUUACUUUUGGAUAAGGGAAUCGCCCACAUCGACUUCCCGUAACAAUAGACGGAAUAGCUGGCACAGUGGAGGGUAAACGUUUUUACAAGGCUGUGCUGCUGACAUGCCUGGGGGAGAUAUCUAUGCUUGAUCAUUUAGAACCUCCAAACCAUGCCAGACCCGGUGAUGAGAUCAGACCGCUCUCCCUGACCGUAGCUGACACCAAGUCAUUCUCAGUGAUACUCAAGGUCAAUCCAGCCACCCCGGAGGCGACAUCAAGGGCCUAGAUGUGUUUAUUAAGGCUCCCUUGGUAACAGCAAAGCAAAUAGCUGGCUCUGGUUUUGUUGCUUUUGGCUCCAUUUGUCUCUCUCCCUCUCUCCAUCUCUCUUGCCCCAUCUUCUUCACCCCCCCCUCUCCUCCCCUGUCUCUAUUCCAGCUGCAGAUGGGACCAGGGAAACCCCAAGUCAAGACAGCCAGUCAACCAGUCAGUCAGUCAGUCAGCUCUAUAGAGGGCCCUGCUAAUCAGAACCCUGCAACAAUGAUGUUAUCCUGGCAAGGCUGAAGUCCCAAGGAUUCAACCCCAAUGACAUGAUGUAGCGAACUCAACUCAGCGAACUAUAUUAUAAUGUAUAGUAUGCGUUGUUUAAUGUUCACCCGUGGAUUAUAUUUCACACAAUGAUACAGAUGAGGUUAGACAUGGUGUACGAAAAAGAAUGACAUUUAUAUAGUGUAAUGUAUAUUGAAACAGGUGUUAAAAUGAAUCUGCCAUGUCUAUAAACCAUUUGAUAUCCUUUCAAUCCAGCCAAGAUCAGGCCAGAAAUUGGAUCAGUCAUUCCGAUAUAUCACACUCUUUACCUUGAGAGAAUCCCUAGUGUGUGGUUCUGUGCUGUGAAUUUAAGUUAAAUAUGUUUCUUAUUGUUAACAUUCUCAAUGGGCCAGAACAAAAGUUCUGACUAGUCGCUGCAUGUGUUGACGAGCGUGAGACAUUUGUUUGCCCAGCACUAAAAUG